UACGUAGGGUGCGAGCGUUGUCCGGAAUUACUGGGCGUAAAGAGCUUGUAGGUGGUUUGUCGCGUUGUUCGUGAAAACUCACAGCUUAACUGUGGGCGUGCGGGCGAUACGGGCAGACUGGAGUACUGCAGGGGAGACUGGAAUUCCUGGUGUAGCGGUGGAAUGCGCAGAUAUCAGGAGGAACACCGGUGGCGAAGGCGGGUCUCUGGGCAGUAACUGACGCUGAGGAGCGAAAGCGUGGGGAGCGAACAGG
Molecule: ribosomal RNA, 253 nt
Filed under: uncultured bacterium
Lineage: Bacteria
Description: partial 16S ribosomal RNA
Rfam family: Bacterial small subunit ribosomal RNA
Source: RNAcentral